GUUGAAUUUAAACUGAGAUGUGGCAUGGUUUGAAGCAUAGUCACUUCAAAAGUGCUGUCCUAAUCAGAGCUUCUUACAGUAACUUAAAUGAAGCUUGAUCAAGCCAAACCUAAGCCAAACCCUGCUCUCAGUUCCACCAGAGAAAAUGCCAGUGUCACAUGGCUGUGCUGUCAGAAUGCUUCAUCACAGCUAACAAACCCCAAGGAACACCUCUGAGUUACCAUGCACCUGGGGAGCAGCAGCACACAGCCAACUCUGCCUGCCUUGGUCAACCCUGUCUCCUCUGCUUCACAUGGUCAGGUGCUGCACAUGUGCUUUGCACCUGUAGAUAAAUCAAGAUUUCUCUAGUCAUUCUACUUAGGGAAUUACUUCGAUCUGCUUAAAUAUCUUACAUACUGAAUACUGACAUCACAAUAAACAGUCCACUAGAACAAGUGUUCUGUCUCUCACAACAGAGGAGCAGUGAGAGAAACACUGGAUAAGCAAAGACAUGUAAAGCUGUUCUUUUGCUCGAAGUGGAUGCUAGCUGUUCAGCAAUAUAUGACAAAUGUCUCCAGAACACUGAGAAAUAAACCUGCACUCUCAUGAAUGGUACAGCAAAUCCCAGACACUACAGUGUUAAUUCUGCAGGCGGUGAUACUGACUUGCAUGUUCAGCCUGUCCACAUCAGAAGAUCUAUCACCAGUAACUGUCACAGGGAGAAGCCUACUCUGCUAAAAACAAUCAAGCAUCAAUGGAGGUAUCUAUCAUUUAAUACUAUGACUGCGCUCAAAGUACUCUAAUAAAGCAUACAUGUAUUCUGACCAAGAAAAGUGAAGUCAGUGGUCACAAACUGCACAUGAUAAAACUGGAAUUCAGAAAUUGAAGGACUGAGCAGACCACUAAAAUGAUGUUGCUACUUCACAGCCUUGCUAUUCUGUAAAACAGGAGAGGUGUAAGUACUUUCAUCAGAAAGACUAUGUAAAGUUAUUUUUAAAUAACAUGCAGAAAACAACAGCAGUUGUCCCAAGCUAGGCAUGCUUUGUUUUAUUUAUUUUAUUUACUUGCGUCUGCUUACUGUAUCACAUUUCUUUUGGGCUUUUGCCCAGAUUUUAAAAUGUCUAUACUUAAAAUUACAUUUUUAAAUGCACAAGCCAAGACUAAGGGAGCUGUUUUCAUUUUUUCUCCUAAAAUGACAAUAUAAUAUCAAGCGCCUACUUCAGAAAAUCUUUCUCUUCAAAGGCCUGUUGAAUGAAUCAUCAGCAAAUGCACGCAAGUCUUGGAGAGAUCAACAAGCAUUUGUCACUGUAAUCCAAAAAGAAAUCUCUCUAUGCAUAGGUUACUAAUUUUCU
RNAcentral lists this long non-coding RNA (1331 nucleotides) under Coturnix japonica (Japanese quail). RNAcentral's name for it is "lncRNA (ENSCJPG00005000304.1)". Lineage: Eukaryota; Metazoa; Chordata; Aves; Galliformes; Phasianidae. The record is from RNAcentral.